Unclassified non-coding RNA from Oryzias javanicus (javanese ricefish), 300 nucleotides. It matches the Rfam family "Metazoan signal recognition particle RNA". From Rfam's summary of the family: The signal recognition particle (SRP) is a universally conserved ribonucleoprotein. It is involved in the co-translational targeting of proteins to membranes. The eukaryotic SRP consists of a 300-nucleotide 7S RNA and six proteins: SRPs 72, 68, 54, 19, 14, and 9. The record is from Ensembl. Lineage: Eukaryota; Metazoa; Chordata; Actinopteri; Beloniformes; Adrianichthyidae.
GCCGGGUGUGGUGGCGCGCGCCUGUAAUCCAAGUGUCAUGGAGGCUGAGGCUGGAGGAUGGUUGGAGCUCAGGAGCUCUGAGCUGCAGUGGACUAUGCUGAUCGGGGGUCCGCACUCACUUCCGUAUCGAUAUGGUCUUUCUGGGGGAGCCCGGGACAACCAGGUCGUCUAAGGACGGGUGAAUCGGCCCAGGUCGGAAACGGAGCAGGUCAAAGCCCGCGUGCCGCUCGCUUGUGGGAUCGCCCCUGAGAGUAGACGCUGCAGCACAGCCUGAGUAACACACGAGAGACCCAGUCUUUU